UAAUACGGAGGGUCCGAGCGUUAAUCGGAAUUACUGGGCGUAAAGCGUACGUAGGUGGCUUGAUUAGUCGGAUGUGAAAGCCCUGGGCUCAACCUGGGAACUGCAUUCGAUACUGUCAGGCUAGAGUAUAGUAGAGGCAAGUGGAAUUCCGGGUGUAGCGGUGAAAUGCGUAGAUAUCCGGAGGAACACCAGUGGCGAAGGCGGCUUGCUGGACUAAUACUGACACUGAGGUACGAAAGCGUGGGGAGCAAACAGGAUUAGAUACCCUGGUAGUCCACGCAGUAAACGGUGAACACUAGGUGUAGCGGGUAUUGACCCCUGCUGUGCCGCAGCAAACGCAUUAAGUGUUCCGCCUGGGGAGUACGGCCGCAAGGUUA
Molecule: ribosomal RNA, 377 nt
Filed under: uncultured Pseudomonadota bacterium
Lineage: Bacteria; Pseudomonadati; Pseudomonadota
Description: bacterial SSU rRNA
Rfam family: Bacterial small subunit ribosomal RNA
Source: RNAcentral